RNAcentral lists this long non-coding RNA (2343 nucleotides) under Triticum aestivum (bread wheat). Its description in RNAcentral is "long non-coding RNA (TAES_LNC021241)". Lineage: Eukaryota; Viridiplantae; Streptophyta; Magnoliopsida; Poales; Poaceae. The record is from RNAcentral.
CUCCUGUCAAAAGCGAUCACAAACUGGGCACAUGCUCCUGUCAUAUGAACCAUAUGCCAUACUCACUAGACGACCAUAGUCAGGAUUAGGCUGUGACCUUCAUUACAAACAGCAAUAUGAACUUCCAUCCCUUCCACGGUCACCCUGUCAAGGAUUGGUGCUGACUCACAUUAAAAAAGAUAUAAAAAAGAUUCCAUACGGACUAGCAUUCUAGAAACUAACUAGUCAAGGAUCACAUAUAUUGUUGUAAAGGCAUUCCAUACUAUUAAGAUGGACCAAAUUCAUGCAGAUACAACAUGUCUCACUAGUUCAAAGCGGAGCCACAGAAAGCUUACCAUUGCGCAAUGGAUUUAUCAACAAAAGGGCCAGGUAGGUGGCGAGACCAACACAUAUUAUCCAUCCCUGGGUCCUCCAGCUUCCAACGUGUUGCCUCCCCCUUGCCCUUCCUUCAAGAAAAAUAACUUCCUUCAAGAAAAACAACACAUGGUCAGCGUUGUCCUAAUAUAGCAAUCAAGAGUGCUCUAACUUUUGACAUGGUUAGCUUCUAUUUUUCUAGACAUUUGGAUCAACAUACAUCCAAAACUAGCUAAAUAUGAGCACAAGCUUGACUCGUGUGACCAACAAUUUAUUGGUGAAAAUCAUUAAUCAGGAACUAAAUAUAACAUUUCGACAAUCAACAAAUGUUUGGUAAAAUGACAACUUAAGAACAAAAUAGGCAUUCAAGCAGGAGUGCCCACACAUCCAAUCAUCAAUCAUAUAACCACUGAUAGCAAGCUAGUUCAGUUUCAGAAAUGUACCCCAUUCAUGAGACCAGCAGCAAAGAAGCAACCCAACCAACGAAGCACUUGAGAUAGCCUCGGUUCACCCCGGGCUGGAGAACUUGACGGGCAACACCAACCGUAAGUCUUCGCUCCAUUCGUGCUUGCACAGGUACGCCACCGCACUGCCGGACUCGCAUAUACCUGCCAACAUCACGAUACUAUAAGAUAAUUAUAAUCAGGAAAAGUCACAUUGAUUCAAGCAUAUUACUUGCUGGGGGUACCAUACAACAUCAUUAUGUGGCUACAAUUUUUUUGCUUUCUAUAUACCAUUUUCAUCAAUCUCAGAUUUAACAAAGCAAGAACUACAAAUGCAAUGUAGCCUCAAAUUUAACAGAGCAAGAACUACAAAUGCAACAUGGCCUCAAAAACUAAGUUUGACAUGUCAUUUUAAACAUGUGUCGACCUUUAUUUAUUUCUAUUCUUGGAUGAGAAGGCUAGGGCAAAGUUAGCUUUCUUGUCUGCGUAAGGAUGAGAAAUAAUAACUGUAGUGUUGCAACAUAAGGACAGUACAGAUACCAUAAUAAGUUUCAGGAACAUCACAUCUAGCACAGUUGCAGAGAUGGCACAAAAUUCUUCUAUGCAAUUUUCAACAUAUUUGUAAUAAUUUUCAUAAGCAAUGAAUCAUGAGAAACAAAUUAUGAGUUAUGAAGUGGUUUCAAACUAUAACAGUGAAGGACUAGACCCGCAAAACACAACGAUGUAUAGGCACUAAACGUACACAGCAAGUAAUAAGAACAGAGACCAUAAAUGAUACUGAUCAAGGAUAAAAACAAGUAGGUAUCAUAUAAUUCUCAUCACAAUCAUACAUUGAAUUCAUUAAAGGCUACAGAUAUAGAAGUAUCAUGCAACCAAAAGGGUUUAAGACCAUACACAAGGAUCAGUGUUAGCAGAAUUGAGAUAUAUUUGUACAGGGUAAUGAAAGGUGCCAAUCCAGUGCAAUAUAAUACAACAAAUAUGUCAAAGUUAUUUAGAUUUGCUAAUGUGUUUGUCACACUACCAAAAUUCAAGAUAAACCAUGACAGGGAAACGAGUGAAUUACAACAAAGGAGGCAUCUAAUUUGACUACCAGUACCACAAUCAUUGAGUGAAAGAAAACACCAGAGAAUUCAGAAAUUUUCUGAACUAAAUGCAAGCAAGUUUGCACAUGACAUAGCAAGUCUGCAGUCCGUAAUUAGAUUAGAUGUUCUAACUCAUGAGCUACAUACAUAGAGACCUACUAGAAUCUGCUUACGCUUAAACUAGAAAGAGAACAAAAAAACUGAACCUAACUAUGCAGCAGAGAGAGAUAGCAUGGGGGGACGACCUAUGGACCAAAUUGUCCUUCACCAGAUCGUUCAAGGGAGCACAACAACAGUAGCAGACCUUGCAUGUUGCUUCACACAACUAGAUCGGAGCAACCUGCAAAGGAACACACUAAUUAGAUGGGGAGAUGGAGAAGAAGAAGAUAAGAUAAGUGGAGGAGCAAGUGACGAACCUGAGAUGGUGUUGCUCCUCCUAGGUCGCCAUGGACAAUCUGAUCCCC